GAUGAACGCUGGCGGCGUGCCUAAUACAUGCAAGUCGAGCGAACAGAUGAGAAGCUUGCUUCUCUGAUGUUAGCGGCGGACGGGUGAGUAACACGUGGGUAACCUACCUAUAAGACUGGGAUAACUCCGGGAAACCGGGGCUAAUACCGGAUAAUAUUUUGAACCGCAUGGUUCAAUAGUGAAAGACGGUUUCGGCUGUCACUUAUAGAUGGACCCGCGCCGUAUUAGCUAGUUGGUAAGGUAACGGCUUACCAAGGCGACGAUACGUAGCCGACCUGAGAGGGUGAUCGGCCACACUGGAACUGAGACACAGUCCAGACUCCUACGGGAGGCAGCAGUAGGGAAUCUUCCGCAAUGGGCGAAAGCCUGACGGAGCAACGCCGCGUGAGUGAUGAAGGUCUUCGGAUCGUAAAACUCUGUUGUUAGGGAAGAACAAAUUUGUUAGUAACUGAACAAGUCUUGACGGUACCUAACCAGAAAGCCACGGCUAACUACGUGCCAGCAGCCGCGGUAAUACGUAGGUGGCAAGCGUUAUCCGGAAUUAUUGGGCGUAAAGCGCGCGUAGGCGGUUUCUUAAGUCUGAUGUGAAAGCCCACGGCUCAACCGUGGAGGGUCAUUGGAAACUGGGAAACUUGAGUGCAGAAGAGGAGAGUGGAAUUCCAUGUGUAGCGGUGAAAUGCGCAGAGAUAUGGAGGAACACCAGUGGCGAAGGCGGCUCUCUGGUCUGUAACUGACGCUGAUGUGCGAAAGCGUGGGGAUCAAACAGGAUUAGAUACCCUGGUAGUCCACGCCGUAAACGAUGAGUGCUAAGUGUUAGGGGGUUUCCGCCCCUUAGUGCUGCAGCUAACGCAUUAAGCACUCCGCCUGGGGAGUACGACCGCAAGGUUGAAACUCAAAGGAAUUGACGGGGACCCGCACAAGCGGUGGAGCAUGUGGUUUAAUUCGAAGCAACGCGAAGAACCUUACCAAAUCUUGACAUCCUUUGACCGCUCUAGAGAUAGAGUCUUCCCCUUCGGGGGACAAAGUGACAGGUGGUGCAUGGUUGUCGUCAGCUCGUGUCGUGAGAUGUUGGGUUAAGUCCCGCAACGAGCGCAACCCUUAAGCUUAGUUGCCAUCAUUAAGUUGGGCACUCUAGGUUGACUGCCGGUGACAAACCGGAGGAAGGUGGGGAUGACGUCAAAUCAUCAUGCCCCUUAUGAUUUGGGCUACACACGUGCUACAAUGGAUAAUACAAAGGGCAGCGAAUCCGCGAGGCCAAGCAAAUCCCAUAAAAUUAUUCUCAGUUCGGAUUGUAGUCUGCAACUCGACUACAUGAAGCUGGAAUCGCUAGUAAUCGUAGAUCAGCAUGCUACGGUGAAUACGUUCCCGGGUCU
RNAcentral lists this ribosomal RNA (1373 nucleotides) under uncultured bacterium. RNAcentral describes it as "bacterial SSU rRNA". It matches the Rfam family "Bacterial small subunit ribosomal RNA", at positions 28 to 1381 of the family's 1533-position model. The record is from RNAcentral.